AGAUUGAACGCUGGCGGCAUGCCUAACACAUGCAAGUCGAACGGGAGUAGCAAUACUCUAGUGGCGGACGGGUGAGGAAUACGUAGGAAUUUGCCCUUAAGUGGGGGAUAACCCGGGGAAACCCGGAUUAAUACCGCAUGACCUCGAAAGAGCAAAGUGGGGGAUCGCAAGACCUCACGCUUUUGGAGAAGCCUACGUCGGAUUAGCUAGUUGGUGAGGUAAUGGCUCACCAAGGCGACGAUCCGUAACUGGUCUGAGAGGAUGAUCAGUCACACCGGAACUGAGACACGGUCCGGACUCCGUACGGGAGGCAGCAGUGGGGAAUAGUUGGACAAUGGGCGCAAGCCUGAUCCAGCAAUGCCGCGUGUGUAGAAGAAGGCCGUUGGUGUAAGCAACAGUUAAGUAGGAAAGAAAAACUACGACUAC
Molecule: ribosomal RNA, 426 nt
Filed under: uncultured soil bacterium
Lineage: Bacteria
Description: bacterial SSU rRNA
Rfam family: Bacterial small subunit ribosomal RNA
Source: RNAcentral